GAGUUUGAUCCUGGCUCAGAGCGAACGCUGGCGGCAGGCCUAACACAUGCAAGUCGAGCGGCCGUAGCAAUACGGCAGCGGCAGACGGGAGAGUAACACGUGGGAACGUGCCCUUCGGUUCGGAAUAACUCGGGGAAACCCGUGCUAAUACCGAAUACGCCCUUACGGGAAGAUUUAUCGCCGAUGGAGCGGCCCGCGUCUGAUUAGCUAGUUGGUGAGGUAACGGCUCACCAAGGCGACGAUCAGUAGCUGGUCUGAGAGGAUGAUCAGCCUCACUGGGACUGAGACACGGCCCAGACUCCUACGGGAGGCAGCAGUGGGGAAUAUUGGACAAUGGGCGCAAGCCUGAUCCAGCCAUGCCGCGUGGAUGAUGAAGGCCUUAGGGUUGUAAAGUCCUUUUAGC
RNAcentral lists this ribosomal RNA (403 nucleotides) under uncultured Alphaproteobacteria bacterium. RNAcentral describes it as "bacterial SSU rRNA". It matches the Rfam family "Bacterial small subunit ribosomal RNA", at positions 9 to 440 of the family's 1533-position model. Lineage: Bacteria; Pseudomonadati; Pseudomonadota; Alphaproteobacteria. The record is from RNAcentral.